AACGCACAUUGCGCCCAUUAGUAUUCUAGUGGGCAUGCCUGUUCGAGCGUCAUUUCGACCAUUAAGCCCUGUUGCUUAGCGUUGGGAGCCUGCUAGCGUUGUCCAGCGUGCAGCUCCUCAAAGUUAGUGGCGGAGUUAGUGCAUACUCUAGGCGUAGUAAUUUUUAUCUCGCUUCUGUGGUUGCGCUGGCGCCUGCCGUAAAACCCCCAACUUUUAAAGGUUUGACCUCGGAUCAGGUAGGAAUACCCGCUGAACUUAA
Molecule: unclassified non-coding RNA, 259 nt
Filed under: uncultured fungus
Lineage: Eukaryota; Fungi
Description: sequence contains ITS2
Source: RNAcentral